RNAcentral lists this ribosomal RNA (520 nucleotides) under Eucnemidae sp. UPOL RK0343. Its description in RNAcentral is "partial 16S ribosomal RNA". The stretch from base 384 to 520 matches the Rfam family "Bacterial large subunit ribosomal RNA", at positions 2473 to 2610 of the family's 2925-position model. Lineage: Eukaryota; Metazoa; Arthropoda; Insecta; Coleoptera; Eucnemidae. The record is from RNAcentral.
CAUGUCUUUUUGAUUAUGAUUUAAAGUCUAAUCUGCCCCCUGAUUUUAAUUUAAUGGCUGCAGUAAUUUGACUGUACAAAGGUAGCGUGAUAAUUAGUUUUUUAAUUGAAAGCUGGUAUGAAUGAUUGGACGAGAGAAGAGCUGUCUCAUUAUAAUAUUUUUAAAAUUUAAUUUUUGAGUUAAAAAGCUCAAAUAUUUUUAAGGGACGAGAAGACCCUAUAGAGUUUUAUAGUUAGUUAUUAAUUUAUUUUUAGUUAAAUUUUUAUUUUUAUUAUAAUUAUUUGGUUGGGGUGAUUUAAAGAUUUAAUUAACUCUUUUUUAUUUAAACAAUUAUAUUUGAAUUUUUGAUCUAUUUUUUAAUUGUAAGAUUAAAUUACCUUAGGGAUAACAGCGUAAUUUUCAUAAGAGUUCUUAUUAGAUUGGAAGAUUGCGACCUCGAUGUUGGAUUAAAAUUAUAUUUUUGGUGAAGAAGCUGAAAAAUUAAGUCUGUUCGACUUUUAAAAUUUUACAUGAUCUGAGU